RNAcentral lists this ribosomal RNA (464 nucleotides) under Vreelandella stevensii. Its description in RNAcentral is "partial 16S ribosomal RNA". It matches the Rfam family "Bacterial small subunit ribosomal RNA", at positions 339 to 795 of the family's 1533-position model. The record is from RNAcentral. Lineage: Bacteria; Pseudomonadati; Pseudomonadota; Gammaproteobacteria; Oceanospirillales; Halomonadaceae.
CUACGGGCGGCAGCAGUGGGGAAUAUUGGACAAUGGGCGAAAGCCUGAUCCAGCCAUGCCGCGUGUGUGAAGAAGGCCUUCGGGUUGUAAAGCACUUUCAGUGGGGAAGAAAGCCUUGGGGCUAAUACCCUCGAGGAAGGACAUCACCCACAGAAGAAGCACCGGCUAACUCCGUGCCAGCAGCCGCGGUAAUACGGAGGGUGCGAGCGUUAAUCGGAAUUACUGGGCGUAAAGCGCGCGUAGGCGGUCUGAUAAGCCGGUUGUGAAAGCCCCGGGCUCAACCUGGGAACGGCAUCCGGAACUGUCAGGCUAGAGUGCAGGAGAGGAAGGUAGAAUUCCCGGUGUAGCGGUGAAAUGCGUAGAGAUCGGGAGGAAUACCAGUGGCGAAGGCGGCCUUCUGGACUGACACUGACGCUGAGGUGCGAAAGCGUGGGUCGCAAACAGGAUUAGAUACCCUAGUAGUC